Molecule: RNase P RNA, 216 nt
Filed under: Geospiza fortis (medium ground-finch)
Lineage: Eukaryota; Metazoa; Chordata; Aves; Passeriformes; Thraupidae
Description: Nuclear RNase P (ENSGFOG00000005492.1)
Rfam family: Nuclear RNase P
About the family: Ribonuclease P (RNase P) is a ubiquitous endoribonuclease, found in archaea, bacteria and eukarya as well as chloroplasts and mitochondria. Its best characterised activity is the generation of mature 5'-ends of tRNAs by cleaving the 5'-leader elements of precursor-tRNAs.
Source: Rfam by way of RNAcentral
UCCGGGGGAAGCUCACUGCCGAGGCCACCCACGGGGUGCGCGUCACCCGCGCCCCGCCUCGGGGAAGGUCUGAAGCCGCGGCGGUUCCUGCGCGGAGCCCCGGCGGAUGCUCAUGGCCCCGCGGUGCUUUGAGACAGACUCACGGCCGGCGUGCUGAGUCCAAUGGGUGAGGUGGGGCAGCGCCCCAUAACCCAAUUCAGACUACUCUCCCCCGGA